This 404-nucleotide ribosomal RNA is filed under the name uncultured bacterium. Its description in RNAcentral is "partial 16S ribosomal RNA". It matches the Rfam family "Bacterial small subunit ribosomal RNA", at positions 28 to 526 of the family's 1533-position model. The record is from RNAcentral.
GACGAACGCUGGCGGCGUGCUUAACACAUGCAAGUCGAGCGGAGCGGCGAACGGGUGAGUAACGCGUGAGUAACUGCCCCCCUCUCUGGGAUAACAGUUGGAAACGGCUGCUAAUACCGGAUAGUGGGGGAUGACUCGCGUCCUAUCAGCUUGUUGGUGGGGUAGUGGCCGACCAAGGCGACGACGGGUAGCCGGCCUGAGAGGGCGAACGGCCACAUUGGGCGAAGGUACGGCCCAAUGGCCUACGGGAGGCAGCGGUGGGAAGUAUUGCACAAUGGGGGAAACCCUGAGGCAGCAACGCGCGUGCGGGAUGACGGCCUUCGGGUUGUGAACCGCGUUCAGCCAUGACGCGGUAGUGGCAGAAGAAGCACCGGCUAACUACGUGCCAGCCGCCGCGGUAAUAC